GAGACACCCUUCUGGGGCAAGACUUGCUUCAGUGGGGCUUUGGUGCUCACUGAGUCUGCCCCCUGGGUGUGUCCCU
This is a non-coding RNA of Myotis lucifugus (little brown bat), 76 nucleotides long. The record is from Rfam. Lineage: Eukaryota; Metazoa; Chordata; Mammalia; Chiroptera; Vespertilionidae.